RNAcentral lists this ribosomal RNA (254 nucleotides) under uncultured bacterium. RNAcentral's name for it is "partial 16S ribosomal RNA". It matches the Rfam family "Bacterial small subunit ribosomal RNA", at positions 524 to 776 of the family's 1533-position model. The record is from RNAcentral.
UACGUAGGGUGCGAGCGUUGUCCGGAAUUAUUGGGCGUAAAGAGCUCGUAGGCGGUGUGUCACGUCGGCCGUGAAAACCUGCAGCUUAACUGUGGGCGUGCGGUCGAUACGGGCAUCACUGGAGUUCGGCAGGGGAGACUGGAAUUCCCGGUGUAGCAGUGAAAUGCGUAGAUAUCGGGAGGAAUACCGAUGGCGAAGGCAGGUCUCUGGGCUGACACUGACGCUCAUGCACGAAAGCGUGGGUAGCAAACAGG